Molecule: unclassified non-coding RNA, 224 nt
Filed under: plant metagenome
Description: partial contains small subunit ribosomal RNA, internal transcribed spacer 1, and 5.8S ribosomal RNA
Source: RNAcentral
UCUCCGUUGGUGAACCAGCGGAGGGAUCAUUACAGGACUCGCAAGACUCCUUCACCCUGUGAACCUCACUACCAGCACGUUGCUUCGGCGGGUGUCCCGGCGGGGGUUUUCCCUCGCCGGGGCGCACAGCCCGCCGGCAGCCUACUAUACUCUGUCUCUUUGCGUUGGCAUCUCGAGAAAAAACAAACAAGUUAAAACUUUCAACAACGGAUCUCUUGGUUCUG